RNAcentral lists this ribosomal RNA (57 nucleotides) under Clostridium botulinum C/D str. BKT75002. RNAcentral describes it as "partial 16S ribosomal RNA". The record is from RNAcentral. Lineage: Bacteria; Bacillati; Bacillota; Clostridia; Eubacteriales; Clostridiaceae. RNAcentral also lists the same sequence under 1 other name.
UUUAAAUUGAGAGUUUGAUCCUGGCUCAGGACGAACGCUGGCGGCGUGCCUAACACA